CAGGUGUAGUUCAACGGCAGAACUUUAGCCUUCCAAGCUAAUAACGUGGGUUCGAUUCCCAUCACCUG
RNAcentral lists this transfer RNA (68 nucleotides) under chicken gut metagenome. It matches the Rfam family "tRNA". From Rfam's summary of the family: Transfer RNA (tRNA) molecules are approximately 80 nucleotides in length. Their secondary structure includes four short double-helical elements and three loops (D, anti-codon, and T loops). Further hydrogen bonds mediate the characteristic L-shaped molecular structure. tRNAs have two regions of fundamental functional importance: the anti-codon, which is responsible for specific mRNA codon recognition, and the 3' end, to which the tRNAs corresponding amino acid is attached (by aminoacyl-tRNA synthetases). tRNAs cope with the degeneracy of the genetic code in two manners: having more than one tRNA (with a specific anti-codon) for a particular amino acid; and 'wobble' base-pairing, i.e. permitting non-standard base-pairing at the 3rd anti-codon position. The record is from RNAcentral.